UACGUAGGUGGCAAGCGUUGUCCGGAAUUAUUGGGCGUAAAGCGCGCGCAGGCGGUCUUUUAAGUCUGAUGUGAAAGCCCCCGGCUCAACCGGGGAGGGUCAUUGGAAACUGGGAGACUUGAGUACAGAAGAGGAGAGUGGAAUUCCACGUGUAGCGGUGAAAUGCGUAGAUAUGUGGAGGAACACCAGUGGCGAAGGCGACUCUCUGGUCUGUAACUGACGCUGAGAGACGAAAGCGUGGGUAGCGAAAGGG
Molecule: unclassified non-coding RNA, 253 nt
Filed under: uncultured Bacillaceae bacterium
Lineage: Bacteria; Bacillati; Bacillota; Bacilli; Caryophanales; Bacillaceae
Description: contains 16S-23S intergenic spacer region
Rfam family: Bacterial small subunit ribosomal RNA
Source: RNAcentral